CUCUACUGAGAUGAAGAAAGAAAAAGAAUACAUGCUCAGCUCCAGGGACACGUAAAGGGACAGAGAUUGGGGGACAGAAGGAAGUGCAUUAAUUCCUUCCACGACCCCUGAAGAGCAGCGGUGGGUCUGAGCAUGCUAUCUCCAUGAAGCAGGCCAGCAGGCAAGCCAGCUGCCACCUCGUCCUGUGCAAAGCACAGGCACCGUCCCCAAAAGAUUUCCAAAGAUGAUGUUAAACCCAGCCAUGGUUCUCAUCUCCAGGAAAGCAAUUGCUGUGGUACAAAAGGACAAGGGUUAAAAGAGAACAGUGGGAGCUCUCUUUCCCAACUAACUCCAGGUGUGACGCAGAGGCUUUCAGCACAGGCCAGGGUGCCCGGGACUGAAAACUCCUUCACCAA
RNAcentral lists this small RNA (395 nucleotides) under Pongo abelii (Sumatran orangutan). RNAcentral's name for it is "processed transcript". The record is from RNAcentral. Lineage: Eukaryota; Metazoa; Chordata; Mammalia; Primates; Hominidae.